This 482-nucleotide ribosomal RNA is filed under the name uncultured bacterium. Its description in RNAcentral is "partial 16S ribosomal RNA". It matches the Rfam family "Bacterial small subunit ribosomal RNA", at positions 28 to 523 of the family's 1533-position model. The record is from RNAcentral.
GACGAACGCUGGCGGCGUGCUUAACACAUGCAAGUCGAACGAUGAAGCUGGAGCUUGCUCCGGUGGAUUAGUGGCGAACGGGUGAGUAACACGUGAGCAAUCUGCCCUUGACUCUGGAAUAACUGCGGGAAACUGUAGCUAAUACCGGAUACUUUCACUGGAAGGCAUCUUCUGGUGGAAAGAAUUUCGGUCAAGGAUGGACUCGCGGCCUAUCAGCUAGUUGGUGAGGUAACGGCUCACCAAGGCGACGACGGGUAGCCGGCCUGAGAGGGUGACCGGCCACACUGGGACUGAGACACGGCCCAGACGCCUACGGGAGGCAGCAGUGGGGAAUAUUGCACAAUGGGCGCAAGCCUGAUGCAGCAACGCCGCGUGAGGGAUGACGGCCUUCGGGUUGUAAACCUCUUUUAGUAGGGAAGAAGCGAAAGUGACGGUACCUGCAGAAAAAGCACCGGCUAACUACGUGCCAGCCGCCGCAGUAA